This 494-nucleotide ribosomal RNA is filed under the name uncultured bacterium. RNAcentral's name for it is "partial 16S ribosomal RNA". It matches the Rfam family "Bacterial small subunit ribosomal RNA", at positions 28 to 507 of the family's 1533-position model. The record is from RNAcentral.
GACGAACGCUGGCGGCGUGCUUAACACAUGCAAGUCGAACGGUGAAGCGCCUUCCUUUUUGGUGGGUGUGGAUGAGUGGCGAACGGGUGAGUAACACGUGAGUAACCUGCCCCCUUCUUCUGGAUAACCGCAUGAAAGUGUGGCUAAUACGGGAUAUUCUGGGUCUGUCGCAUGAUGGGUCUGGGAAAGAUAUUGUUUCGGUGGGGGAUGGGCUCGCGGCCUAUCAGCUUGUUGGUGGGGUGAUGGCCUACCAAGGCGGUGACGGGUAGCCGGCCUGAGAGGGUGGACGGUCACACUGGGGCUGAGCCACGGACCAGCCUCCUGCGGGAGGCAGCAGUGGGGAAUAUUGCACAAUGGGCGCAAGCCUGAUGCAGCGACGCCGCGGGAGGGAUGGAGGCCUUCGGGUUGUGAACCUCUUUCGCCAGUGAAGCAGGCCUGCCUCGUUUGUGGGUGGGUUGACGGUAGCUGGAUAAGAAGCGCCGGCUAACUACGUG